Long non-coding RNA from Vidua chalybeata, 291 nucleotides. RefSeq lists it as uncharacterized. The record is from RefSeq and is a predicted model, not a curated record. The transcript has 2 exons. Lineage: Eukaryota; Metazoa; Chordata; Aves; Passeriformes; Viduidae.
GAAUUUGGUCUCAACCUGACACUUCGAGAAGAGAAUUUACCACUGCCAGACUGUUGGAUUUCGUUCAGGAGUGGUUAUCUGGGGAGAAAGCAUUCCUUCCCUAGUCACGCCCGUCUCAGUGACUGUGGUUGGCAGGAGCUCAGGAGGUCAUCCAGUCCAACCCCCUGCCCAGGCAGGGCCAUCCUGAGCCAGCUGCCCAAAACCAAGGCCAAGGAUGGAGAAUUCAUGGCCUCCCUGAGCAACCUGCUCAGGUGUUUGACCAUUCUGACAAUUAAAAAGUGUUUCCUUAGA